This is a long non-coding RNA of Tetranychus urticae (two-spotted spider mite), 481 nucleotides long. RefSeq lists it as uncharacterized. Lineage: Eukaryota; Metazoa; Arthropoda; Arachnida; Trombidiformes; Tetranychidae. The record is from RefSeq and is a predicted model, not a curated record.
UCACAAAAACAAGUAACUUAAUUCCUUUGUUGACUUGAAGAAAGGGUUAAUUUCAUUUGAAUCAAAACAUACUGAAGUCUGGAGAUAAACACGAGAGCUUCCUUCCAAUCCUUCCUUCAAAUUUCCUAUUUAACCUCAAAUCUAAACCAUACUUUGUAUCAUACAACUUAAAACUUCACUUGAAAACAGUUAAAAGUUUAUUUCUUUGUUUCGUUUCAUUGAAUCGUUGUUUAACUUGAAAAUUUAAUAUAAUGGAUCCUUCAAACCGAACCAACCAAUGUAAUCCAACACACAUGCCAAGUGGAAAAGGCCACAAUGCUGGCUACCAAGGGACUGGAACCAAGAGUGAUCUUGAUAAUCAUGGUAACCAAAUGAAUCCCCAAAAUGCUGCUUAUGCCAGUAGUCGAAGUGGAAAUAAGAAGUGAACAUGGACAAAUGCUUAUUCCAAGAUUCAUAAAGCGGUUAUUUUUAUUGUAAUGCA